RNAcentral lists this ribosomal RNA (243 nucleotides) under Oxyrrhis marina. RNAcentral's name for it is "partial Bacterial small subunit ribosomal RNA". It matches the Rfam family "Bacterial small subunit ribosomal RNA", at positions 1 to 253 of the family's 1533-position model. The record is from RNAcentral. Lineage: Eukaryota; Dinophyceae; Oxyrrhinales; Oxyrrhinaceae.
AUGGAGAGUUUGAUCCUGGCUCAGGAUGAACGCUGGCGGUAUGCUUAACACAUGCAAGUCGAACGAGAGGUUUUUAAAGAUUUUUCUUAAAAAACUGAAAGUGGCGGACGGGUGAGUAACACGUGAGAAUCUGCCUUUAGGAAAGGGACAACAUUUGGAAACGAAUGCUAAUACCGCAUACGCCCUUUUGGGGAAAGGCUUCGGCCGCUCUUGGAUGAUCCCGCGUCUGAUUAGCUUGUUGGU